UGGUUGAGAGUCAUGAAAAAUUAUAACAAAUUUUGAGGUGAACUCCGCGAAAGAACAAAUAAUCAAUUGAAAUCAUGAUAACAAAAAAUUAAUCUGAGCGUGCAAAAAUUCAAGGAUCAUCAAAAGAAAGCGAUAUCAUUGAAGAAAAGUGGUUGGUAACAAUGUAAUGCUUAAUGCAUAUGCCAUUUGCAAGAAAGACUCGGUGUUCCAAAUUGAGCAAAAAUCAAAUGCCAAGGCCGAUGGCAGUGGUGAGUAGGCUCUCAAGGUCAAUUUUAAGGUACUGUUAUAAUAUUCAAAACCUACUCCAAAUCUGAAAAGGUUUCCUAAGAAGUAUAUCCAAAGGAGCUAUUGAUCAAAACGUUUUCACUCAACCAAUUAAUAAAUUAGUUAUGCAGCAAGCUUAAAGAAAAAAUAACAAGAUUGUGAAUUGGAGCUUAUGAUUUGCUGUAACCAUCUCACUUUGGAAAUUAUGAAAUUCUAUCAUCAAAUUGGCUCAAGUCUUGAGAGGUUUAGUGUUGAUUAGCUUGGCAUGGAAUACUGUUAGUCAUAUUCAAUUAAUACAAGCUUGGUUCUCUUCCUGUUUGCCUAUUCAUCAGCAGGAUACCUUUUUUUGC
Molecule: long non-coding RNA, 614 nt
Organism: Glycine soja
Lineage: Eukaryota; Viridiplantae; Streptophyta; Magnoliopsida; Fabales; Fabaceae
Exons: 3
Source: RefSeq, a predicted model, not a curated record